RNAcentral lists this ribosomal RNA (253 nucleotides) under uncultured bacterium. Its description in RNAcentral is "partial 16S ribosomal RNA". It matches the Rfam family "Bacterial small subunit ribosomal RNA", at positions 524 to 776 of the family's 1533-position model. The record is from RNAcentral.
UACGAAGGGUGCUAGCGUUGCUCGGAAUUACUGGGCGUAAAGGGCGCGUAGGCGGACGUUUAAGUCGGGGGUGAAAGCCCGGGGCUCAACCUCGGAAUUGCCUUCGAUACUGGACGUCUUGAGUACGGGAGAGGUGAGUGGAACUCCGAGUGUAGAGGUGAAAUUCGUAGAUAUUCGGAAGAACACCAGUGGCGAAGGCGACUCACUGGCCCGUUACUGACGCUGAGGCGCGAAAGCGUGGGGAGCAAACAGG